AGGUUUCCGUAGGUGAACCUGCGGAAGGAUCAUUAACGAAUUCAUGAUUCGGCGAGGGCAAGGCGGAGGGUUGUAGCUGGCCUUUUCACCGAGGCACGUGCACGCUCUCUUCCGAACUCUCGCCGUAUGGGGCGNGGGGCGACCCGCGUCUUUCAUCUCACCUCUUCGUGUAGAAAGUCUUUGAAUGUUUUACCAUCAUCGAGUCGCGACUUCUAGGAGACGCGAUUCUUUGAGACAAAAGUUUAUUACAACUUUCAGCAAUGGAUCUCUUGGCUCUCGCAUCGAUGAAGAACGCAGCGAAUCGCGAUAUGUAAUGUGAAUUGCAGAUCUACAGUGAAUCAUCGAAUCUUUGAACGCACCUUGCGCUCCUCGGUGUUCCGAGGAGCAUGCCUGUUUGAGCGUCAGUAAAUUCUCAACCCCUCUCGAUUUGCUUCGAGAGGGCGCUUGGAUGGUGGGGGCUGCCGGAGACCUGGAUUCAUCCAGGACUCGGGCUCUCCUGAAACGCAUCGGCUUGCGGUCGACUUUCGACUUUGCGCGACAAGGCCUUCGGCGUGAUAAUGAUCGCCGUUCGCCGAAGCGCAUGAAUGAACGGUCCCGCGCCUCUAAUCCGUCGACGCUCUUUCGAGCGUCUUCCUCAUCGACGUUUGACCUCAAAUCAGGUAGGAC
Molecule: ribosomal RNA, 666 nt
Filed under: Suillus anomalus
Lineage: Eukaryota; Fungi; Basidiomycota; Agaricomycetes; Boletales; Suillaceae
Description: eukaryotic LSU rRNA
Rfam family: 5.8S ribosomal RNA (bases 250-404)
Source: RNAcentral